GACGAACGCUGGCGGCGUGCCUAAUACAUGCAAGUAGAACGCUGAAGGAGGAGCUUGCUCUUCUGGAUGAGUUGCGAACGGGUGAGUAACGCGUAGGUAACCUGCCUGGUAGCGGGGGAUAACUAUUGGAAACGAUAGCUAAUACCGCAUAACAGUAGAUGUUGCAUGACAUUUACUUAAAAGGUGCAAUUGCAUCCCUAACAGAUGGACCUGCGUUGUAUUAGCUAGUUGGUGGGGUAACGGCUCACCAAGGCGACGAUACAUAGCCGACCUGAGAGGGUGAUCGGCCACACUGGGACUGAGACACGGCCCAGACUCCUACGGGAGGCAGCAGUAGGGAAUCUUCGGCAAUGGACGGAAGUCUGACCGAGCAACGCCGCGUGAGUGAAGAAGGUUUUCGGAUCGUAAAGCUCUGUUGUAAGAGAAGAACGAGUGUGAGAGUGGAAAGUUCACACUGUGACGGUAUCUUACCAGAAAGGGACGGCUAACUACGUG
Molecule: ribosomal RNA, 495 nt
Filed under: uncultured bacterium
Lineage: Bacteria
Description: partial 16S ribosomal RNA
Rfam family: Bacterial small subunit ribosomal RNA
Source: RNAcentral